CCUACGGGUGGCUGCAGUAGGGAAUUUUCCACAAUGGACGAAAGUCUGAUGGAGCAACGCCGCGUGUGUGAUGAAGGGUUUCGGCUCGUAAAACACUGUUGUAAGAGAAGAAUGACAUUGAGAGUAACUGUUCAGUGUGUGACGGUAUCUUACCAGAAAGGAACGGCUAAAUACGUGCCAGCAGCCGCGGUAAUACGUAUGUUCCCAGCGUUAUCCGGAUUUAUUGGGCGUAAAGCGAGCGCAGACGGUUGUUUAAGACCGAAGAGAAAGCCCUAAGCUUAAAUGUGGAAGUGCUUUCGAAACUGGAUAACUUGAGUGCAGUAGGGGAGAUUGAAACUCCAGGUGUAGCGUUGAAAUGCGUAGAUAUAUGGAAGAACACCAGUGGCGAAGGCGGCUCUCUGGACUGUAACUGACGUUGAGGCUCGAAAGUGUGGGUAGCAAACAGGAUUAGAUACCCUUGUAGUC
This 465-nucleotide ribosomal RNA is filed under the name uncultured Weissella sp. RNAcentral describes it as "bacterial SSU rRNA". It matches the Rfam family "Bacterial small subunit ribosomal RNA", at positions 338 to 795 of the family's 1533-position model. Lineage: Bacteria; Bacillati; Bacillota; Bacilli; Lactobacillales; Lactobacillaceae. The record is from RNAcentral.